Molecule: small RNA, 125 nt
Filed under: Marmota monax (woodchuck)
Lineage: Eukaryota; Metazoa; Chordata; Mammalia; Rodentia; Sciuridae
Source: RNAcentral
GCCGGGCGCGGUGGCACACGCCUGUCAGCCCAGCAGCUCUGGAGGCUGAGGCAGGAGGAUCACGAGUUCAAAGCCAGCCUCAGCAAAAGCCAGGUGCUGAGCAACUCAGUGAGCCCCUGUCUCUA